GGCGAAAUUCCGUAACGUAGGCUAGUUUACGCAUAGGAGAAUGCGCGCACGCCUAUUGGUUGGCACCGCGGCAGCAUGAAAACCUGCGGCGGCCAGAAACGGAUGGAGAGUUGCCAUCGCCGCCAGCGUGGCUGCGAGUACUUGUUUACACACUGCAAUAGGAACUGAAGUAUUGAGAAGGGAAGGUGCAAGGAGCAAAGAAAGCGAGAGAUGAAUAGUGAAAAGUGUGAUCUCCUAGUACAGUGUUGCAAUUGUGGAAGUUUUGUGGUCAGCCCUCGUUCCGUGCGGCGUUCCGUGUUGUUUGGCGUGUGUGUGUGUGUGUGUUUGACAUAAGCCGUUGCACAAGUACGGUGGAAGAAUUCAGUAUUGCUUGGCUGCACCUAAGUCUACAUAAACUCGACGGCCACUCAAGACGCACGCAGUAGAAGCCUCAAAUUCGUUUUGUUUUCAUAAUUGCGCUUCUCGCUUGUGGCUACCGUUAUUACCGCACGUUGUGCAAACACAUUUCAGCUGUGUUUCAUACAUUUGCUGAGAUAAUUUAAGCGUUCUGUUAUUCUUGCGUCUGAGAGGAUCUUGCAGUCAUGCAAGUCAUGCAAGUGUCAUGCAGUGGUCUUUUUUACUUUGAAGAAGACAAAAGCAGUGUCAAAUAAGAUCACAUGUACAAAUGCGUGACACAAAUGGCUAUUCAAACAUAUCCUUCUGCAAUCAUUCUACCAGUGCAUGCUCUUACGUUACGUCUUAAAGUCGUGGACAUAUUUCCCUUAUAGAUCCACUUACCGUUCUUCCAGCUCUGUAACACAGUGCUCUCUCUAAAUGCAGAUAUACUAUGACAAAUGGUUGUUGCUGUGGCACGCGCCUAUACUGUCGUCCAGGGGAUGGUUUAGGGGUCGACCCCCCUCAAAUCAUGCCCAUGGUAGUGCAUUUGGGAGAGGAAAACGGAGGGGGAUCCUCCUCCCCCAUGUAAAGUCCCCAUAGAAACUGCCCUCCUGAAAUAUUUUCUGGCUACCAUCACGUCAGCAAACUGCAGUCCACUCGGGAAGGAAGUGGUACCCCAUGGUCAUGGGCGUACCGAGAGGGGGCCAUGAACAUGGAACUCCAAGAUCGCUUGUAAAAAUGGUGCACUCUUUAGUCAUAGGUUGUAAUGUUUAUUCUCAGAUGCCAUGAUAGGAACCUCUGAACGCCCAAUGUCCGUCUCCAGAAAAAGGGGUGUUCGAGGGGUUGCACUCUUGCUCCACUUGGAAAAAACCCUGGUAACGUUAAUGCUCAUGGUUAAUGCCUAACACCAAAGCGGUCACACCCUAUGGACUAAUUUGUAGUCCACUGGAUUUGCUAGAAGUUAAAUUUAUAUUUCUACUUCCUUGACACAUGGUGCCUGUAGAAAUUGGCAAGACUCAGUGUGCCGUGUGUGCCUUUGAUUGGCAAGUCUCAGUCUACAGUAACAGACUCUGCUGGCACUUAAUACAGGCAUUUUAAUUUAGUUCUGGUGCUUGGAAGUCAUGAGCACUUUAUUUUAUGUUAUUAUUUUUAAAUUAUUGGUGAUUAUAUGGCAAAAUAACUUGUUACUCAAUUAACCUCUUUUGAAAGUUUUGGAGUAUUAUUAUGAAAGCAACAUUACACUCUUCCUCCCACACACGUUUUUCCUAUUUAAGCUUGAAACCUCGUUCAUCUUACCAAACAUGAAUAAUUGAACCUCUUUAUGCAAUAAGGGGAUAAGUCGAAAGAUACCAAACCCAGAGAAUGUGCCUGAUCCGAUUGUCCGUCCGUCAUCUGCUCAGACUCCCCACAUUACCGUGGUAUACACCCUUCUCCCUUUCUGACCACGAAUGUUCCUCUGUGUUGUUAAAAAAAAAAACUAGCUAAACUCCCUUGCUGGAGCGAAACCUGCAUUUUCCUGUAUCGUCCAAGCAAGACUACUGAAUGGUGUGUCGCUACUCUUCGCACACUAGGUCCACACUAGCACAUACUUCUUCAGUGCUCACACCAGAAACCUUCCCGAACCACCCUUUCAGGAUCUCUUAAUCAGCCGAACUCUCGCCCCCAUCACAUUGUCAAUAUUUCUUGGUCCAUGGCCACAUACAGCACACCAAAGUUCUGCAUUCAAAGCAUUUCUGACCUAUUUUGGCAUCAUAGGACUUCAGUACUCACUGUUAGGUGACUCAUUAUGAUAUUUUACCACACCACCACAGUCAACGGGUUUGAGUAUCGCCCCUGGUGAUGAAACUCCCCAAUCAUAAUCACCAAAUAAACUAGUUGUUGGGUACACACUAGCACAAAUUGUACAAUACACAUUCAGAGUACAUGAGGGGUACCAGGGCAGUUUUCUUCCUUAUAUGUACCUAUACGCCUAUACGUAGUCUCAAGCGUUGGAACAUGCAUCACCACGACUCCAUCAUCAUGGACAGGUCAGUGACGCAACCUGCAGGAGUGAGACAGGCUCUCUCAAGAAACAUGCGAAACAUUUCACACUGCAAACGAAUUAUGCGGGGUAGAAUAUAUGCGACGGCAUUGUGUGAGGUGCAAUAAGUGUAGAAAUCUUCAGUAAUAGAAUGUUCCAGUAUUCAUGAAUACCGAAAAGUCACAAAAGCUCCGUUCCUCCAGUAUACUUGCAAGACCAAACUAUCACGGCAAAUCAGCAUUGCGUCGUCUUGGCAAGCAUUUGCAAGCUAUCCGCCAUGCUAGAAUGCCUAGAGCAAUAAUGUGAAUUGCCAUAUAACAGCUGUUGCUACACCAGCUAAUCCUAAACGCUAUCCGGACCCACCGCACUAUCUGCACACUCCGUUCGUGACACUUUGUGGUCAGUUUAAUUUACUUCGAUUAAUUCUUCCACAUUAAUGAUUUGUGCCACAAACAUUGCCAGGAAAAUAUUGUAAAUAUUGUCACGUAAAAGGGUUGAAAACAAGAUAUAAUUGGGACAUGUUCCGAUUGGAAGCAGUGUCAGUACGCAUCAUUUGUGUUGAGGACGAAGCAUCUUCAAAUUCAACGUAUGUUACGAAUGUCCUUCUUUCUAAAUUGUUAUGGACGACGCCCAACGAUGGCUGGAUGACUGCACUAAACGUACAUCUACCUCGCGGAUUAUUAACACGGUGAAGAGAUCUGAACGGUGAGUUCUUUGCACUUUCAGGUAGUUCUGCUGUUUCAAUCUGUUCACUGCUUACCCACCUCCUGAAAGCAAUAUCUCAUAGGGUAGGGGUUUAGGUAUGAUGCUGGUUGAUGAUUAGGGGUCUUGAGGUGCAUAUAUAGUCAUCUUAGCCCAUAUUAUGCCGGACACUAGUACAAAAAUUCAGAUAGAAAAAUCAUGGAACAAGACUAGAUUCGCAAUAUGCAAUCUUAAAUGUGUAUAACUUGCUCAACAAGGAGUUCAGGUUCUCAUGAGGUAUAUUUGUUGAUCUUAUUGCAAGACAGUGCACUCUCAUGUUACAUAGCUAACAUACGACAUGCUAUUUGUUGUUCAUUUGUUCAUCUUUGUUGUCACAACCAGGUUGCUUCCUUCGAGGCAUGGCUGUGUUCGAGGCCAUACGCCUUCAUGAAACUAAGCUGGAGAUGUAAAACAAUGCCCAUGAACUGCUUGCAAGUCCAGCUGCUAACCCAACACAGAGAACAGUGUAUCACUGGUAUGAACAGUGGUGAAAGGAUGCAUAUGGCGAUGACAGAGAGGCCAUUCAGAAGCUGAAGGAAAAGACUUGUUUAUACAGACAAGAUGGCGCCUCAACCCUUCAUGACAGUUGCUGAAAAACCAGCUCUUCAUAGCAUCUGGCCAAAAGUGAGCCAGGUACUUUGCCACCUCCAUGUGGCUCAGCCAGAGUGGCACUGGCUAAAAUCUACGAAGAAUGUCCGCCCAGAACAGCGGAGGGAGCUGAUAUUGUGUAUGCUGACACUGCAGAUGGUUUGGAAAAAGCGAAGGAAGAGCUCCAAGCAUUGCUCCAGGACUGCUACAGAGCAUGUGUGCAAGCAUUCUUGCAAAAUGAACAGCAGUGGGUGAUGCUCUUUCGAAAAAGAAUCUUAAUGCGAGGCCCGACAUGUACAAAAUAAUGCGCAAAAGUAUAAGAUGCUAAAUAUGCAGCAUAAAAAGCAUUUAAAAUAGAGUACAAAAUACUCUCAAAACUGAAAGUAAUUUGAGUAAAGCACUAAAUACCCAAGUAUUUAAGGUACUAUUUAAAGUACUUUACCAUUAGCAGCAAGUGAAACGCCUAUUCUGGCUGAUGUGGCCGUACAACUGAAAGGAAUAAACUUCAUCUGCCAUACUUAAGCACAAUGUUUAUUUCCAAGGUCUUUGUGUCAUUUUGGUGAGCUCAAGUAAACUUUGGUGAUAUAUUCUGACCCAAAACUUUGUAACCCCUCCUGUAUGGCAGCUUGGGUUUUUCAACUUCUGAAGCGUGUUUAUUGCUUUGGUGACUAAGGAAAUAAAUGCUGGGAUUAUCUUGUACCUAAUCCCAUGGGGAUUCACCUGAGAAUAUGAAUAGGAACAGUUUCUGUAUUGCGUAGAGUAUCAAAAUACAGCAAAAAAGUAUACUCUAUUUUGAGUACCUACGUAAGUCUGCACGAGGCUGUAACACC
Long non-coding RNA from Ornithodoros turicata, 4554 nucleotides. RefSeq lists it as uncharacterized. The transcript has 3 exons. The record is from RefSeq and is a predicted model, not a curated record. Lineage: Eukaryota; Metazoa; Arthropoda; Arachnida; Ixodida; Argasidae.